GACGAACGCUGGCGGCGUGCUUAACACAUGCAAGCCGAACGGAAGGGCCUGCUUUCCCUUGUGGAUUGCGGGUACUCGAGUGGCGAACGGGUGAGUAACACGUGAGUGAUCUGCCCCCAACUUGGGUAUAAGCCUGGGAAACUGGGUCUAAUUCCCGGUAGGACUGCAGGGUGGUGCCUGUGGUGGAAAACGAUUUUCUAGUGGUUGGGGAUGAGCUCGCGGCCUAUCAGCUUGUUGGUGGGGUAAUGGCCUACCAAGGCGGCGACGGGUAGCCGGCCUGAGAGGGUGGACGGCCACAUUGGGACUGAGAUACGGCCCAGACUCCUACGGGAGGCAGCAGUGGGGAAUAUUGCACAAUGGGCGGAAGCCUGAUGCAGCGACGCCGCGUGGGGGAUGACGGCCUUCGGGUUGUAAACUCCUUUCGACCGCGAGGAAGCCACCUGGUUGGAAGGGUGGUGACGGUAGUGGUAGAAGAAGCACCGGCUAACUACGUG
This 494-nucleotide ribosomal RNA is filed under the name uncultured bacterium. Its description in RNAcentral is "partial 16S ribosomal RNA". It matches the Rfam family "Bacterial small subunit ribosomal RNA", at positions 28 to 507 of the family's 1533-position model. The record is from RNAcentral.